This 2905-nucleotide ribosomal RNA is filed under the name Yersinia pestis 3770. Its description in RNAcentral is "bacterial LSU rRNA". It matches the Rfam family "Bacterial large subunit ribosomal RNA". Lineage: Bacteria; Pseudomonadati; Pseudomonadota; Gammaproteobacteria; Enterobacterales; Yersiniaceae. The record is from RNAcentral.
UUAAGCGACUAAGCGUACACGGUGGAUGCCUAGGCAGUCAGAGGCGAUGAAGGGCGUGCUAAUCUGCGAAAAGCGUCGGUAAGCUGAUAUGAAGCGUUAUAACCGACGAUACCCGAAUGGGGAAACCCAGUGCAAUACGUUGCACUAUCGUUAGAUGAAUACAUAGUCUAACGAGGCGAACCGGGGGAACUGAAACAUCUAAGUACCCCGAGGAAAAGAAAUCAACCGAGAUUCCCCCAGUAGCGGCGAGCGAACGGGGAGGAGCCCCGAGUCUGAAUCAGUUUGUGUGUUAGUGGAAGCGUCUGGAAAGUCGCACGGUACAGGGUGAUAGUCCCGUACACCAAGAUGCACAGGCUGUGAACUCGAUGAGUAGGGCGGGACACGUGACAUCCUGUCUGAAUAUGGGGGGACCAUCCUCCAAGGCUAAAUACUCCUGACUGACCGAUAGUGAACCAGUACCGUGAGGGAAAGGCGAAAAGAACCCCGGCGAGGGGAGUGAAAUAGAACCUGAAACCGUGUACGUACAAGCAGUGGGAGCACCUUCGUGGUGUGACUGCGUACCUUUUGUAUAAUGGGUCAGCGACUUAUAUUUUGUAGCAAGGUUAACCGAAUAGGGGAGCCGUAGGGAAACCGAGUCUUAACUGGGCGUCUAGUUGCAAGGUAUAGACCCGAAACCCGGUGAUCUAGCCAUGGGCAGGUUGAAGGUUGGGUAACACUAACUGGAGGACCGAACCGACUAAUGUUGAAAAAUUAGCGGAUGACUUGUGGCUGGGGGUGAAAGGCCAAUCAAACCGGGAGAUAGCUGGUUCUCCCCGAAAGCUAUUUAGGUAGCGCCUCGUGAACUCAUCUUCGGGGGUAGAGCACUGUUUCGGCUAGGGGGCCAUCCCGGCUUACCAAACCGAUGCAAACUCCGAAUACCGAAGAAUGUUAUCACGGGAGACACACGGCGGGUGCUAACGUCCGUCGUGAAGAGGGAAACAACCCAGACCGCCAGCUAAGGUCCCAAAGUCAUGGUUAAGUGGGAAACGAUGUGGGAAGGCACAGACAGCCAGGAUGUUGGCUUAGAAGCAGCCAUCAUUUAAAGAAAGCGUAAUAGCUCACUGGUCGAGUCGGCCUGCGCGGAAGAUGUAACGGGGCUAAACCAUGCACCGAAGCUGCGGCAGCGACACUUAGGUGUUGUUGGGUAGGGGAGCGUUCUGUAAGCCGUUGAAGGUGACCUGUGAGGGUUGCUGGAGGUAUCAGAAGUGCGAAUGCUGACAUAAGUAACGAUAAUGCGGGUGAAAAACCCGCACGCCGGAAGACCAAGGGUUCCUGUCCAACGUUAAUCGGGGCAGGGUGAGUCGACCCCUAAGGCGAGGCUGAAAAGCGUAGUCGAUGGGAAACAGGUUAAUAUUCCUGUACUUGGUGUUACUGCGAAGGGGGGACGGAGAAGGCUAGGCUGGCCGGGCGACGGUUGUCCCGGUUUAAGCGUGUAGGGGGAGUGACCAGGUAAAUCCGGUUGCUUAUCAACCCUGAGGCGUGAUGACGAUGCACCACGGUGCAGAAGCAGUUGAUGCCAUGCUUCCAGGAAAAGCCUCUAAGCAUCAGGUAACAUUAAAUCGUACCCCAAACCGACACAGGUGGUCAGGUAGAGAAUACUCAGGCGCUUGAGAGAACUCGGGUGAAGGAACUAGGCAAAAUGGUGCCGUAACUUCGGGAGAAGGCACGCUGGCGUUAGGUGAAAGGACUAGCUCCUGGAGCUGAAGCCAGUCGCAGAUACCAGCUGGCUGCAACUGUUUAAUAAAAACACAGCACUGUGCAAACACGAAAGUGGGCGUAUACGGUGUGACGCCUGCCCGGUGCUGGAAGGUUAAUUGAUGGGGUCAGCCGCAAGGCGAAGCUCUUGAUCGAAGCCCCAGUAAACGGCGGCCGUAACUAUAACGGUCCUAAGGUAGCGAAAUUCCUUGUCGGGUAAGUUCCGACCUGCACGAAUGGCGUAAUGAUGGCCAGGCUGUCUCCACCCGAGACUCAGUGAAAUUGAACUCGCUGUGAAGAUGCAGUGUACCCGCGGCAAGACGGAAAGACCCCGUGAACCUUUACUAUAGCUUGACACUGAACAUUGAGCCUUGAUGUGUAGGAUAGGUGGGAGGCCUUGAAGUGUGGACGCCAGUCUGCAUGGAGCCAACCUUGAAAUACCACCCUUUAAUGUUUGAUGUUCUAACUCGGCCCCAUGAUCUGGGGUGAGGACAGUGUCUGGUGGGUAGUUUGACUGGGGCGGUCUCCUCCCAAAGAGUAACGGAGGAGCACGAAGGUUAGCUAAUCACGGUCGGACAUCGUGAGGUUAGUGCAAAGGCAUAAGCUAGCUUGACUGCGAGAGUGACGGCUCGAGCAGGUACGAAAGUAGGUCUUAGUGAUCCGGUGGUUCUGAAUGGAAGGGCCAUCGCUCAACGGAUAAAAGGUACUCCGGGGAUAACAGGCUGAUACCGCCCAAGAGUUCAUAUCGACGGCGGUGUUUGGCACCUCGAUGUCGGCUCAUCACAUCCUGGGGCUGAAGUAGGUCCCAAGGGUAUGGCUGUUCGCCAUUUAAAGUGGUACGCGAGCUGGGUUUAGAACGUCGUGAGACAGUUCGGUCCCUAUCUGCCGUGGGCGUUGGAAGAUUGAGAGGGGCUGCUCCUAGUACGAGAGGACCGGAGUGGACGAAUCACUGGUGUUCGGGUUGUCAUGCCAAUGGCAUUGCCCGGUAGCUAAAUUCGGAAGAGAUAACCGCUGAAAGCAUCUAAGCGGGAAACUUGCCUCGAGAUGAGUCUUCCCUGGGGCUUAAAGCCCCCUGAAGGAACGUUAAAGACUAUGACGUUGAUAGGCUGGGUGUGUAAGUGCAGCGAUGUAUUGAGCUAACCAGUACUAAUGAUCCGUGAGGCUUAACCUU